Molecule: non-coding RNA, 132 nt
Filed under: unclassified sequences
Source: RNAcentral
GUGUUGAAAUGCAUGGUGGGUAAUCAAUGUGAAAUUCGUUGGCUGUUCCUGCAACGGUUAUAGUCCGAGCGCCACCCAACAUAGUCCGACUAGAAUGAAGGCCAGGAAAAGUCUAAUUCUGUUAACGGCAAA